RNAcentral lists this ribosomal RNA (898 nucleotides) under Shimizuomyces paradoxus. Its description in RNAcentral is "LSU rRNA". It matches the Rfam family "Eukaryotic large subunit ribosomal RNA", at positions 41 to 958 of the family's 3401-position model. Lineage: Eukaryota; Fungi; Ascomycota; Sordariomycetes; Hypocreales; Clavicipitaceae. The record is from RNAcentral.
UAUCAAUAAGCGGAGGAAAAGAAACCAACAGGGAUUGCCCCAGUAACGGCGAGUGAAGCGGCAGCAGCUCAAAUUUGAAAUCCGGCCCCCCGCGGCCCGAGUUGUAAUUUGCAGAGGAUGCUUUUGGCGAGGCGCCCUCCGAGUUCCCUGGAACGGGACGCCGCAGAGGGUGAGAGCCCCGUACGGUCGGACGCCGAGCCUCUGUAAAGCUCCCUCGACGAGUCGAGUAGUUUGGGAAUGCUGCUCCAAUGGGAGGUAUAUGUCUUCUAAAGCUAAAUACCGGCCGGAGACGAUAGCGCACAAGUAGAGUGAUCGAAAGAUGAAAAGCACUUUGAAAAGAGGGUUAAACAGUACGUGAAAUUGUUGAAAGGGAAGCGCUCGCGACCAGACCUGGGCGCGGCGGAUCAUCCGGCGCUCCCCGCCGGUGCGCUCCGCCGCGGUCCAGGCCAGCAUCAGCCCGUCCCCCGGGGGACAAAGGCCCUGGGAACGUGGCUCCUCCGGGAGUGUUACAGCCCAUCGCGCAAUGCCCUGGGGCGGGCUGAGGCACGCGCCGCCCAGCGCGGCAAGGAUGCUGGCGUAAUGGUCGCCAGCGACCCGUCUUGAAACACGGACCAAGGAGUCGUCUUCGUAUGCGAGUGUUCGGGUGGGCAAAACCCUACGCGGAAUGAAAGUGAACGCGGGUGAGAGCUUCGGCGCAUCAUCGACCGAUCCUGAUGUGCUCGGAUGGAUUUGAGUGGGAGCAUACGGGGCCGGACCCGAAAGAAGGUGAACUAUGCCUGUAUAGGGUGAAGCCAGAGGAAACUCUGGUGGAGGCUCGCAGCGGUUCUGACGUGCAAAUCGAUCGUCAAAUAUGGGCAUGGGGGCGAAAGACUAAUCGAACCUUCUAGUAGCUGGUUUC